ACGGCCCGGCGCCGGGGGUGCCGCACCGGAUCGUCCCGGUGCCGGACGGGCCGCUGAACGCCGGGCAGUUGGCCGCGGUGCAGGAGGCCGCGCGGGCCGUG
This 101-nucleotide transfer RNA is filed under the name Kitasatospora phosalacinea. RNAcentral describes it as "tRNA-His". Lineage: Bacteria; Bacillati; Actinomycetota; Actinomycetes; Kitasatosporales; Streptomycetaceae. The record is from RNAcentral.